CUACAUCUCGCCGUCGACUCCGCCAACCCUAGCGCCCUCGCCGACUCACUCCCAUCCUUGCCCGCCCCGCUCGGCACCGCCGCCUCCAUUCCCUUCGUCACCCACCCAUCGCCCGACGCCCCUGCAUCCUCCAUCCAUGCCUCCACCCAGCCGUGCCGCCACCCAAUCUCCAUCGACGACCCCCCACACACUCGCACCUCCGACUCACGCCGCUGCCCAUCCCCAUCCACACCACACCCGGAUCCCACUCCCAGAGCCGCCGCCGCGCAUUCCCCAACCAGCAGGCACCCCAUCUUCGUCCAUGCCGCACCAGUAUCCCCCAAUCCAGCGUUGGUGCCCCAUUCGCCGACCAUGACACCGCCCCAUCCCCUCCUUAUCACCCUAAACGUCGUCCCGAUCCCCAACAACAACACCUCCCCAUCCCACUCGCCACCCCCGUCACCUGCUUUGCCUCGCACUACAGCACAGCGUGAUUAAGAUCUAAUUGAUUGUCUGUUCGUGCUACCAGGAUUGUUCUCUGCCACAUGUUCGUUAACUGAAGCAGCAGCAACAACAACAAUCUCAGAUUCGCACAUAGAGGCUGCCACUAAGCUUUGUUCUCCAUUCGUGCUUGGUCUUUACAGGCUAAUCGGCAUAAACUCAACUUUAAAGACAAGUUUUAAGGUCUUGGUUGGCAAGUGAAGAAGGUAUCAAGCUGCAGCCAUCAGUAACUGAACAAGUGCCAACUGCAUCUUUUGGUUGGCAACGUUGCUACAAGGCUGGUCUACUCACCUUGUGAAACCAUUUGCUUCACUCGUUCUGGAGUUUGUUUGUGAAGUUACGCAGAAGCAACCAUCACAGCCGGUAGCAGUCCCCACAUCUAGAAGUUGUGUUUUGUGAGCUGGAAGGAUCUUCUGCUGGGAUCUGUUUGUAGCUGAAACCAGAUGUUGUAUUUUGCGCUUUUCUCUAUUAUGCAAUAUUGGACCUAUUGACCUACAUAUGUAUGCCUCUGUGCGCAUGGGAAUAGUGAAUUACAUGAAGGAUGUUGUGCUGUAAUACUGGGCUUGUGAACCUACAUAUGCUUGUAACCAUGAUGG
Long non-coding RNA from Triticum aestivum (bread wheat), 1076 nucleotides. RefSeq lists it as uncharacterized. The transcript has 4 exons. The record is from RefSeq and is a predicted model, not a curated record. NCBI's taxonomy places the organism in Eukaryota, Viridiplantae, Streptophyta, Magnoliopsida, Poales, Poaceae.